This 833-nucleotide small RNA is filed under the name Pan troglodytes (chimpanzee). Its description in RNAcentral is "processed transcript". Lineage: Eukaryota; Metazoa; Chordata; Mammalia; Primates; Hominidae. The record is from RNAcentral.
CGUGUGUGAGAGGUCGCGCAGAGUGUGAACAUGGCUACGCCUCUUCAUUCCCGUCCAUGCCGAGCCCCCGACUGCAGCAUUCAAAGCCCCCACGGAGGUUGAGCCGGGCACAGAAACACAGCAGCGGGAGCAGCAACACCAGCACUGCCAACAGAUCUACACACAAUGAGCUGGAAAAGAAUCGCUUGAAGAAUUGGUUGGUUGGGAGAAGGGAUACCAGAGGCAUAAAGAUGCUUUUGAAGGCUAUUGCAGUAAUCUAGACGAGCUCAUCUGCGCCUUUGUUUAGAACGCUUAAAAGUUCUGAUUCCACUAGGACCAGACUGCACCCGGCACACAACACUUGGUUUGCUCAACAAAGCCAAAGCACACAUCAAGAAACUUGAAGAAGCUGAAAGAAAAAGCCAGCACCAGCUCGAGAAUUUGGAACGAGAACAGAGAUUUUUAAAGUGGCGACUGGAACAGCUGCAGGGUCCUCAGGAGAUGGAACGAAUACGAAUGGACAGCAUUGGAUCAACUAUUUCUUCAGAUCGUUCUGAUUCAGAGCGAGAGGAGAUUGAAGUGGAUGUUGAAAGCACAGAGUUCUCCCAUGGAGAAGUGGACAAUAUAAGUACCACCAGCAUCAGUGACAUUGAUGACCACAGCAGCCUGCCGAGUAUUGGGAGUGACGAGGGUUACUCCAGUGCCAGUGUCAAACUUUCAUUCACUUCAUAGAACCCAGCAUGACAUAACAGUGCAGGGCAAAAUAUUCACUGGGCCAAUUCAAUACAAACAAUCUCUUAAAUUGGGUUCAUGAUGCAGUCUCCUCUUUAAAACAAAACAAAACAAAACUAUAC